CCCUUAGAUGUUCUGGGCUGCACGCGCGCGACAAUGACGUUUGCAACGAGAUUGCGAGGCCGUCAGGUCGAGCUGAUCUUGCAAGCUGCGUCGUGAUAGGGACAGUCGAUUGCAAUUAUUCGACUCGAACGAGGAAUUCCUUGUAAUCGCGCAUCAUCAGUGCGCGCUGAAUACGUCCCUGCCCUUUGUACACACCGCCCGUCGCUCCUACCGAUUUAGUGAUCCGGUGAAUGUUUUGGAUCGGCUUCAAGUUGGUUCGCGCCUCUUGCUUGCUGUGAAAUCAUGUAAACCUUAUUGCUUAGAGGAAGGAGAAGUCGUAACA
Molecule: ribosomal RNA, 322 nt
Filed under: uncultured eukaryote
Lineage: Eukaryota
Description: partial 18S ribosomal RNA
Rfam family: Eukaryotic small subunit ribosomal RNA
Source: RNAcentral